RNAcentral lists this ribosomal RNA (1060 nucleotides) under uncultured Bacteroidales bacterium. RNAcentral describes it as "bacterial SSU rRNA". It matches the Rfam family "Bacterial small subunit ribosomal RNA", at positions 32 to 1087 of the family's 1533-position model. The record is from RNAcentral. Lineage: Bacteria; Pseudomonadati; Bacteroidota; Bacteroidia; Bacteroidales.
AACGCUAGCUACAGGCUUAACACAUGCAAGUCGAGGGGCAGCAUGGUCUUAGCUUGCUAAGGCCGAUGGCGACCGGCGCACGGGUGAGUAACACGUAUCCAACCUGCCGUCUACUCUUGGACAGCCUUCUGAAAGGAAGAUUAAUACAAGAUGGCAUCAUGAGUCCGCAUGUUCACAUGAUUAAAGGUAUUCCGGUAGACGAUGGGGAUGCGUUCCAUUAGAUAGUAGGCGGGGUAACGGCCCACCUAGUCUUCGAUGGAUAGGGGUUCUGAGAGGAAGGUCCCCCACAUUGGAACUGAGACACGGUCCAAACUCCUACGGGAGGCAGCAGUGAGGAAUAUUGGUCAAUGGGCGCAGGCCUGAACCAGCCAAGUAGCGUGAAGGAUGACUGCCCUAUGGGUUGUAAACUUCUUUUAUAAAGGAAUAAAGUCGGGUAUGUAUACCCGUUUGCAUGUACUUUAUGAAUAAGGAUCGGCUAACUCCGUGCCAGCAGCCGCGGUAAUACGGAGGAUCCGAGCGUUAUCCGGAUUUAUUGGGUUUAAAGGGAGCGUAGAUGGAUGUUUAAGUCAGUUGUGAAAGUUUGCGGCUCAACCGUAAAAUUGCAGUUGAUACUGGAUAUCUUGAGUGCAGUUGAGGCAGGCGGAAUUCGUGGUGUAGCGGUGAAAUGCUUAGAUAUCACGAAGAACUCCGAUUGCGAAGGCAGCCUGCUAAGCUGCAACUGACAUUGAGGCUCGAAAGUGUGGGUAUCAAACAGGAUUAGAUACCCUGGUAGUCCACACGGUAAACGAUGAAUACUCGCUGUUUGCGAUAUACGGCAAGCGGCCAAGCGAAAGCGUUAAGUAUUCCACCUGGGGAGUACGCCGGCAACGGUGAAACUCAAAGGAAUUGACGGGGGCCCGCACAAGCGGAGGAACAUGUGGUUUAAUUCGAUGAUACGCGAGGAACCUUACCCGGGCUUAAAUUGCAGAUGAAUUACGGUGAAAGCCGUAAGCCGCAAGGCAUCUGUGAAGGUGCUGCAUGGUUGUCGUCAGCUCGUGCCGUGAGGUGUCGGCUUAAGUGC